CUCGGAUGGAGAGUGUGACCCUUCUGAGAAGCCUGCCCCUGAUUCCUGUUCUCCCAGGACUCCUCUUCUGUUGCAGACAAGUGCCUUACAGCUCAGCUGUGACAGCAACCUGGAUCUGGGCGAGAAACCAAGCAGCAUUCAGAGAGUUGAACAACUCAGGUUUGUUAUGCCAGCGGGCCCAGAGGAGUUAACACUCCAAGCUCUGGACCCCGUCUGUAGGUUUACACAGGCUUUACUAGGCUGCCAGUUUACACUCUGCAACAUCAUAUGCAACUAAGGUAUAACAAAAGUUGACUAAUUAGGAACAAGCUUUGUAGAAAUGGGCCAAUCAAGAGUGAGAGGAAUAACCAAUCAGGAGUGAGCUCCAUGCAAAUGAAGUACUACAAAUGGACCAAUCAGGAGUUAGCUUAGGGAACCAAUAGAAUUUUAGGGGUAAGUUCCACUUUCCUAGAAGCCAUUUCAGAGACAAAAAGUGAGAUAGAGCCGCUGGGCCAGGGAACCGGAUGGUGUUGGCAGGAGAGCAGCGGCCCUGCCUGGGGGCCCUGCCGGUCUUUUUAUGGGGCUCCCCGCCUCACUUCCACAGCACCUAGCAGGACCUAAGAUUAUCUCAUUUUGACAUGUUGCCCCGUUGAUGAAAUGUCUCCAUCACAUCUCCACUGGGUGUGAUCUUCAGAAGGGCAGGGACUUGGUGCUCUUAACCGUUGUUGAGGACCACACCUGGGCCCAGGGCCUAAACAAGAACUUUGCCCGAAUUGCUUUUCUGGAAACUUGGAUUCAGCUGCGUCCGGUUUGAGCUCAAGCCGGUUGAGACUGGUUAGGCCGUGUUAGGACCACGACCCUCCAACUGGGCCUGCACGAGUGUCCGCUUGGUGACCUUUUGACUCCCAGGGCCUCAAAUGCCACCCUCAAAAGGUGCUAAGGCUGCCUCUUACUUGUACGGUUUGUUUUUUAUGAGGGGGGUAAUUAGGUUUACUCAUUUAUUUCUGCUUGGAGGAGGGGCUGGGGCUCUAACUCCGGCCCGCUUGCGCGCUGAGCACGCGCGCUCUACCCACCCCCAGGGCUGCCUCUCUCUGCCCAUGCGCCCGCGCAGGCCCGUCCUGUCCAAUCGCCGCCCGCGUCCUCCGCAGCCUCCGCCCUAUCCCAUAAACGCCCGAGUUGGGGAGGGGUUUCAGGUUAGUUCUGUCUGGCCGUCGUCGCUGGGCGCCCCAGAAGGAGCCCCUCCUCUGCUGCACGCCUGGCGUGGGCCUCGCUGCCCGCGGGCAGACAGGCCUGGGGUGCUGCUCCCUGGGGCUCUGCGGACACGCGCUCGACCAACUGGCUGCUUGGGGCCGGGCUGGGGGCUGCGCGCCCUCUCAGUGGUCCGCGGAAGGCCUCGCCCCUCUCAGCCUGUUUGCCCAGCUUGGAGCCGGGCUGCUGCGAGCCAGGCUCCUCGGCUGCAGGGCGGCCUGGUGCCCCUGCUUGGCCCCCGCAACCUAAGGACUUAUGUUUCCAGACGAGAAGGAUGGACAGUCUGCAGCGCCAAAACCCACUUCCCAGUGCUGGUCUCCUUGGGCUCAGCCGACCAGGCGCACCUGGUUGCUGUUUCCUGUGGAUUCAUUGUCAGGCUCUGCGGGACAGGACCACCACCACUGCUUCUGCCCCAGGUUGACCCUGGAGACUGCGGUGCCCCUCCCUCGGGUCCUCUCGAGACUCCUUGGCUUGGGCCUGCAGAAGUCAUCUGUGCCACCCAGGCCACGUUAGGGUCUUGGUUCCUCUGGAGCCGCAGGCCAUGCCAGGCCUCUGCCCUGGAACUGGCCGCCCCUCAUGGGUGAGCGGCACAUUCUUGCGUGGACCGGGACCACCCUAGACGCGGGAGCCGGCCACGCUGCUGGGCCCGGAGGCUUUCUGGAAAAUCGUCCACUACACGAAAACUUCCACCACCUGGCUCAGAGGCCCGGACAUCUGCUCUUUAUCUUCCUUUUGCUCGGUGCCACGCUGCGGCUUCUUGCUUCUUGGGGUCUCACCUCCAAGAGGGAGGUAUGAGGUGGACGCUUGUUGCUUUUGUCUGACCGGCGUCCUUCUGUCUCCUGGUAACAGCGCCCACCCUGCUUGCCCAAGCUGUCCUGCCCCCUGCCCAUCCCAGCACCCACCCUUCCAGACUACAGGGGUGAGUGUGUGUGCCAGUCCUGGCCGGCUGGAGCACCCUAGCGUCCUGGUCACGGUGGUGGCCAUCACCCAGGCUGCGCCGGGCAGGCAGCGUUCUUCCCUGAACUUCACCUCCAGGUGCUGGGAGGCAGUAUGUUGCGUCACUGAAUUUGACAAGUUAUGGAUCUGGGGUCCUUGCCGCAUGGAGCAGGGGUGCAGGAAAUCAAGCAGGGACAAGCAGAGGCCCAGGACUGAAACGGCCUCACUCGUCCCCGGGCUCCUCUGCCCCUCGGUGACCCUGCCCUGGCUCUUGUGCCGGGUGGACGUCCAAUCGAGGUUUCUGGGCAGGCCUUGUUUUUCUGGAUAGAAAAGAACAGAUUUCCACUUUCCUUCUGCUUUUAAAAGCGUCGUGGAGGCCACAUGUCUGAGGGACAUCGCAAAGACCCGUCACAGAGCCCACCCCAGACUUAUGGCUAGGCGUGGACAACGAACCCUGGCGUGUUCCAAGCACGGGUAGGUGAGUUCUCCAUGAUGGCAGCUGAAGGUACCCCUAACUGAUAAGCCUGCCACUGGAGACGUCUUCCCAGCUGCCCACGGAUGUCAUCCUUGUGCAGGGGUGGUGUCCCCACCCACGUGUGAGACUGGCCGGAGUGUGUAACCUGUGGACAGUGUAGCAAGAGAUGUCGGGGAUGCAGCAAGAAACGGCAGCUGGAAUUUGAACUGAGACCCGGGUGCUGUGUCUCUACUAACUCCGGCGGCAAUUUCAGGGUGGUGUCUGGGGGAUAAAAGGUCUGGCCACCCCCCAGCGAAGGCUUCCUGGGCCCUGUCACGACCCUGAGGAGCCGGGAGGAACCACAUUCACCCAGCACCCCUCCUCAGCCUGUGCCCAGUGCGGUCCUUUGCUGAGCUGGGCUCCUGUGGGUCUGUGACUGUGACCGUGGCCCGUGUGAGCUUCUCUUCCCCACGACCCCUGAGGUCCUAGCUCGGCCCCCGGCCCACGCGUCUCUGAAGUACCCACUGCCCAUCAGCGGGUUCUCUGAAUGCCAGGGUGAAAGCCACACGAGUUCGCUCUGCCUGGCCCAGCACGAGGUGAGGACGCCAAGACUCCUUCUGGGUGACCCCUUGCUGGCUCCUCCACCCCGAGGAAGGUCCCCACAGUCAACCAGCUGCUGCCUCCUGCUCCAAAGUCUGUUUCAACCUGCAAAUCCUAAGGUUCUGUCCUUGAAGAAUGCUCUGUCUUAGGGCAGAGGAUGGCAUGACUGAGGCCCCCCCCCAGCUCCAGGUGAGGCCCCCCGCUGUGUGGCUGGUAGUCCAUCCCUUCUCAGGCAUUGGAGGUCAGGCCUCGUCCUCUCUCUCUUGACCCAGAAACAGCCUCCUUGCCUCUGGCCUCUCCUGUCUGAGCUGUCCUCCACAGGCAGCUGGGAGGGUCUCUCCCCGUGCUCACUCGGCUCCCUGCUUCCAGCCCUCCUCUGUCUCCCUUGUUCUCCGGGGUGAAGGCCUGUGCACAGUGCUCAGGACCCUUCACCAUCCCCGCCUGCCCUUCCAGCUUCCUCUCCUGACACUUGCCACUUAAAACCCGCCAUCCACAACAUGUCUCUCUGUUCCCAAGAGGCACCAAGCCUUCACACCUCUAAGCCUCUGCACUCACUGCAGCCUGAAUCUGCGAUGCCUGAGAAAACUCCUACUCAUCCUUCAGCACCCAGCUCAGAUGACACUGUUCUCCCCAGAGGUGCUACUCGCGCCUCCUCCCUGCGGGCCCACACUCUGUGGCUCCGGUAGGGCCCCCACACUCGGCUGACACUGUCCACUCCUUGCUGGAGGUCCCACAGACAGAAGGCUCUCUGGGGCCAGACUCUGUUAAUGUUAACACCACCAGCCGCACUACCAUUACUCUUUAUGGGGGGCACUGUGAUAAGGGAUAAACACAAUAAUUAUCUCAGUAGUCAUUAGAAAUUUUCUCAAUGUAAGCACUAUUCUAGGUGUUUUAUACUUGUUAGCAUUUUAUCUUCAAAUACCCUAUGAACUGGGUAAAAUAAUUAUGAUGAUGAUUAAUCUCAUCACCCCCAUUUUACAGAUGAGGAAACGGAGGCUCCCAGGAGCAAGAACGACUUACGCAGGUCACCACCCCAGAGCUACACCCUCAGCCCAUGCACCGUCUGCUCCCAUCUUACUGAACCUCCACCAAGUUCCAGAGGAACAGGGCCACCCCCACUUCACAGAUCAAGCCACUGAGGCUCACAGAGGGAGACGGAACAGCUUGGUCCCACGGUAAAUAUCUGGAAACGCUGGGCUUCAAGAACCAGGUCAGGCUGGGCCUCCCUCCUCACCAUCUCCAAGGCCCCAGGCAGGGCCUGCGGCGGAUGCCAGCCACCACUGUCCCUUUGUGGGCCCUGGGUAUUGUCCCCAGGAGGAAGGCCUGGGUUCCCACUAGCGGCCACCCACACACUCGGUUCCAAGGAUAAUGGAAUCCACAAGCAGCCGACCUCUCCAGCUCCAGACGGCGCCCCU
Molecule: long non-coding RNA, 4632 nt
Organism: Camelus dromedarius (Arabian camel)
Lineage: Eukaryota; Metazoa; Chordata; Mammalia; Artiodactyla; Camelidae
Source: Ensembl